AGUUUGAAUGACAGCUCAUACACCAUCAAAAGUAUAUCAGGUAUUCAACCUACCAUUAAUCAAGGUAGCAUAUAGUAAUAUUUUUAUGUCUAAUAAUGAAAAUAAGAAAAUGUGGUAUAAUUGCCAAUGGGACAACACUCUGCCAUAAACCAAAUAACAUAGAACAGUGGGGGAUCCAGCCAUUUAAAAAGGGGGGGGGGUUCUUAACCCAGGACAAAAGGGGGAGGGGGUUCCAACUAUAUGUCCUCAUUCAAAUGCAUUGAUCGGUCAAAAAAAGGGGGGUUGCAACCACCGGAAUCCCCCCCCCCCCUCUGGAUCCGUCACUGUAGAUUUUAAAACAACAAACAACUAUAGGUCACUGUACUACCUCCAACAAAGGAGAAUUCAUACCAUGUAGUCUGCUAUAAAACUCCCGAGAAUGGCAAAUGUAAUACAAUUCAAAGGAAGAACUAACAGCCUGAUUAAUGUAUAAAACAAUGAAAACAACAACAAACCUAAUAUACAGCAAAAUUAACAAGAUAAAAAGACCUAAUUAAAGAUUCCUGCAAAGUUCAGCAAAGUACAACUUUUCUAAAGGCUUGUAUGCAGGCUUUGGAAAAACCAUUCAAUUAAAUAUCGAUGAAAAUACAUUUAUUUUCCAAAUUCACGAAAUUUGUACCCACAAAAAGGAAUUAAUCCAUGGUAGCUUAUGGUUAUUGCAUCUAAAGCUGUAAUUUGAAAAAGUUGCUUACUUGGAAUUUCCUGAGAGUCCUUUUUAUUUCAGUUAGAUUACAUGGAAAUUAGUAAUUAUGUUAAUUUUCAUCUGUACUAUUAUUACUAUAUUGUGAUGUCAUCUAAACACUUAUGAUGAUUUUCUAUUACAGAUACAGAAGUAUAACGUUAGAAAAGUGUGAAGUUAGAGAAGUGUGAAGUCAAUCAAGUGUGAAUUCAGCGUAAUAUAUUUUCAAAGAAAUUAUAACUACUAGAAUAAUAAAGCAGUGCUAUUUUUAUAUUUGUUGUAUUUACUGGAUAAUGUUCUGUGAUGACAAA
This 1029-nucleotide long non-coding RNA is filed under the name Mytilus galloprovincialis (Mediterranean mussel). The record is from RNAcentral. Lineage: Eukaryota; Metazoa; Mollusca; Bivalvia; Mytilida; Mytilidae.